AAUCGACAGGGAUCAGUUGUGCGAGUACCUCCGACACGGUAAGAGCUGCAGUGCGCUAUUUGCCAUCAGCUGCAUUCUUCAUCGUAUUAUCAGUUCUCAAUCAUAGUCGUGUAUAGGGGCAAAGAAAAGGCGAUAGAAAUCAGUCGAGUGAACAUCUCCGAUAUGCAAGAGCAGCAGUGCACCAUUUGUCACCAUCUGCAUUCUUCUUCGCGUUACCAGUUUUAAUCAUGGUUUCUAGUUAAUUAUGGCGCCGUGCUGUUAACACUUACUAGUCGUUACUCGUUACCAACUGUGCUCUUCUUUACAUUUAUACACUUUACACACUUAUCUUUACCAACUGCAUUCUUCAUCGCAUUGCCAGUUUGAUAUCAUGGUAAACUAUGGCGUCGUGCUGCUGUUGGGUGUUGUAUCGUUGAUGGCUGGUUCAGCCACUGAUGUAGCGAUGUCUCCUGGGUAUGGCGGAUAACAACUCGCAACGCCGCCACUAUUACACAACAUACGACACGACCAGUUGCUACACCAAGGCCUCUAAGUAUUGCACCAAGGCUCCAGGUUAUUAUAUAACAACUUAUGCAGCCCUGAGCUACUACACCGAAUCCCCGCAGUAUUUUUCUUCCCCGAGCUACACUACCAAAGGGUCGAUUACUACACGGAUGCUCCAAAGUACUACACCACCAAAGCACCGUAGUACUACACAACCACAUAUCAUGGUAUGAGAGGAGAGAAAAGGUGAAAUAAUUCAGCAGCCGAGUGAACAUCUCCGUCACAGCAACAGGAACUGCCGUGCACUUUUUGUCAUCAACUUCAUUCUUCGUCGUAUCACAAGUUUUUAAAUGAAGGGAACUAUGGCGUCGUGCUGCUGUUGGGUGUCGUAUCGUCGAUGGCUGGAUCGACCACUGGUGUGCCGAUUUCUCCUGGGUGCGGCGGACUUCAACAACAACAUACGCAACAACCGGAUGCUACACUGAGGCCCCCAAGUGCUACACCACCAAGGCUUCAGAGUAUUAAACCGUAACUGAUGCCACCCCAGUUUAUGUUGGCCCGAGCUACUACGCAGAAUCUCCGAAGUAUUUUUCUUCCCCGAACUUCACUACCUUCACUAUACCGCCUCCUUACCAAACAACAACGUCAACACCUACAUACUAACGAAGGGAGCGGAGUACUACACCACGCAGGGAGCGGAGUACUACACCACGCAGGGAGAGGAGUACUACACCACGCAGGGAGUGGAGUACUACACCAAGGCUCCAGUUUACUUCACUACAACCCACGCUGCUCCAGAGUACUGCACUGAUGUUCCAAAGGACUACACCACCAAAGGCAUCCGAAUAUUACAUCACUACUUUCGUUACUACCAAAUCCUACACCGAAGCUCCCAAAGCACUUCUUUGCCCCGAGUUACUACACCACUAACGCAGCCGAAUAACACCCCAAACUACGAUUCCGCAAUUUUCUACAUGGAAAUUCCUUAUUAUUAGAGCCGAAAUUUCUACUCGGGGUUAUUUAUAUGUAUCGGUUAUUUUCAUGGUGAUUGGUCGCUGGGAAUCAAUUGUUGAUCUUAAAUGAGAAAAAAAAGGUUUAAUACGGGUAUUUUUUUGUAAGACUUGGUUAGUAACUUCAAGCCUGUUAACAUUGCUACAGGUGUCUUUUGUGUUGGAUUUCUUCAAGGCCAGUAUGCUUGCUGAGUUAUAAAUUAUUUUAUGUUAGACUACUGCCUUAGUUACACUCAUUGUUCUUGUGGCUUGACGAUGACUUUAAGGGCGAAAUAAGAAAGAAACUUGUAACCGUUGAUUUUUUCAAAUCUUACAAAUAAGAGGCAAGUGACUGACCUUUGUAUAAAUGAAAGACUUUGAAGUUGAGAAAAAUAUAUUGAUACAAUUCCUAAA
This 1886-nucleotide long non-coding RNA is filed under the name Daphnia pulex (common water flea). RNAcentral describes it as "uncharacterized LOC124207252, transcript variant X2". The record is from RNAcentral. Lineage: Eukaryota; Metazoa; Arthropoda; Branchiopoda; Diplostraca; Daphniidae.